CAGUCGCCGCGGGAAUACAGAGGGUGCAAGCGUUAAUCGGAAUUACUGGGCGUAAAGCGCGCGUAGGUGGUUCGUUAAGUUGGAUGUGAAAUCCCCGGGCUCAACCUGGGAACUGCAUCCAAAACUGGCGAGCUAGAGUAGGGCAGAGGGUGGUGGAAUUUCCUGUGUAGCGGUGAAAUGCGUAGAUAUAGGAAGGAACACCAGUGGCGAAGGCGACCACCUGGGCUCAUACUGACACUGAGGUGCGAAAGCGUGGGGAGCAAACAGGAUUAGAUACCCCUGUAGUCCCUGUCUCUUAUAU
Molecule: ribosomal RNA, 301 nt
Filed under: uncultured bacterium
Lineage: Bacteria
Description: partial 16S ribosomal RNA
Rfam family: Bacterial small subunit ribosomal RNA
Source: RNAcentral